GAUGAACGCUAGCGGGAGGCCUAACACAUGCAAGCCGAGCGGUAGAGUUUCUUCGGAAACUUGAGAGCGGCGCACGGGUGCGUAACACGUGUGCAACCUACCUUUAUCUGGGGGAUAGCCUUUCGAAAGGAAGAUUAAUACCCCAUAAUAUAAUGAUUGGCAUCAAUUAUUAUUGAAAACUCCGGUGGAUAGAGAUGGGCACGCGCAAGAUUAGAUAGUUGGUGAGGUAACGGCUCACCAAGUCAAUGAUCUUUAGGGGUCCUGAGAGGGAGAUCCCCUACACUGGUACUGAGACACGGACCAGACUCCUACGGGAGGCAGCAGUGAGGAAUAUUGGACAAUGGGUGAGAGCCUGAUCCAGCCAUCCCGCGUGAAGGAUGACGGUCCUAUGGAUUGUAAACUUCUUUUGUACAGGGAUAAACCUACCCUCGUGAGGGUAGCUGAAGGUACUGUACGAAUAAGCACCGGCUAACUCCGUG
This 479-nucleotide ribosomal RNA is filed under the name uncultured bacterium. RNAcentral describes it as "partial 16S ribosomal RNA". It matches the Rfam family "Bacterial small subunit ribosomal RNA", at positions 28 to 507 of the family's 1533-position model. The record is from RNAcentral.